UGCGGGUUGGAGGAGUGGUUUCCUUGUUAGGCUCAUACCCUGAAGACACGGGUUCAAAUCCCGUACCCGCAU
Molecule: transfer RNA, 72 nt
Filed under: Candidatus Epulonipiscium sp.
Lineage: Bacteria; Bacillati; Bacillota; Clostridia; Lachnospirales; Lachnospiraceae
Description: tRNA-Met
Rfam family: tRNA
About the family: Transfer RNA (tRNA) molecules are approximately 80 nucleotides in length.
Source: RNAcentral